AGGCUUCAUACAUGCAAGUCGAGGGGCAGCAUAAAUUACUUGUAAUUUGAUGGCGACCGGCGAACGGGUGCGUAACGCGUAUGCAACUUACCUUUUACUAGAGAAUAGCCAAGAGAAAUUUUGAUUAAUGCUCUAUACACUUAUUAAUUCUCAUGAAUCUAUAAGAAAAGCUCCGGCGGUAAAAGAUGGGCAUGCGUCCUAUUAGCUUGUAGGUGAGGUAAUGGCUCACCUAAGCUCCGAUAGGUAGGGGUCCUGAGAGGGAGAUCCCCCACACUGGUACUGAGACACGGACCAGACUUCUACGGAAGGCAGCAGUAAGGAAUAUUGGACAAUGGAGGCAACUCUGAUCCAGCCAUGCCGCGUGAAGGAAGACGGCCUUAUGGGUUGUAAACUUCUUUUAUACAGGAAGAAACCUUUCCACGUGUGGAAAGCUGACGGUACUGUAAGAAUAAGGAUCGGCUAACUCCGUGCCAGCAGCCGCGGUAAUACGGAGGAUCCAAGCGUUAUCCGGAAUUAUUGGGUUUAAAGGGUCCGCAGGCUGUUUGUUAAGUCAGAGGUGAAAUCCUACCGCUCAACGGUAGAACUGCCUUUGAUACUGGCAAACUUGAGUUAUUGUGAAGUAGUUAGAAUGUGUAGUGUAGCGGUGAAAUGCAUAGAUAUUACACAGAAUACCGAUUGCGAAAGCAGAUUACUAACAAUAUACUGACGCUGAGGGACGAAAGCGUGGGUAGCGAACAGGAUUAGAUACCCUGGUAGUCCACGCCGUAAACGAUGGUCACUAGCUGUUUGAUGUACAUUGGUACAUUGAGUGGCUAAGCGAAAGUGAUAAGUGACCCACCUGGGG
RNAcentral lists this ribosomal RNA (844 nucleotides) under uncultured Flavobacteriaceae bacterium. Its description in RNAcentral is "bacterial SSU rRNA". It matches the Rfam family "Bacterial small subunit ribosomal RNA", at positions 44 to 878 of the family's 1533-position model. Lineage: Bacteria; Pseudomonadati; Bacteroidota; Flavobacteriia; Flavobacteriales; Flavobacteriaceae. The record is from RNAcentral.